This 73-nucleotide transfer RNA is filed under the name Xenopus tropicalis (tropical clawed frog). Its description in RNAcentral is "tRNA-Arg (TCT) (tRNA-Arg-TCT-50-1)". It matches the Rfam family "tRNA". Rfam says of the family: Transfer RNA (tRNA) molecules are approximately 80 nucleotides in length. Lineage: Eukaryota; Metazoa; Chordata; Amphibia; Anura; Pipidae. The record is from RNAcentral.
GGCUCUGCGGCGCAAUGGAUAGCCCAUUGGACUUCUAAUUCAAAGGUUGUGGGUUCGAAUCCCAUCAGAGUCG